RNAcentral lists this ribosomal RNA (106 nucleotides) under uncultured bacterium. Its description in RNAcentral is "partial 16S ribosomal RNA". It matches the Rfam family "Bacterial small subunit ribosomal RNA", at positions 1379 to 1482 of the family's 1533-position model. The record is from RNAcentral.
CCUUGUGCACACCGCCCGUCACACCAUGGGAGUUGGUUUUACCUUAAGACGGUGUGCUAACCCGCAAGGGAGGCAGCCGGCCACGGUAAGGUCAGCGACUGGGGUG